Molecule: transfer RNA, 69 nt
Filed under: Gerrhosaurus sp. AC-2011
Lineage: Eukaryota; Metazoa; Chordata; Lepidosauria; Squamata; Gerrhosauridae
Description: tRNA-Ile
Source: RNAcentral
GGAAGCGUGCCUGACAAAAUAGGACUACUUUGAUAGAGUAGACAUAGGGAUAAACCCCCCUCACUUCCC